Non-coding RNA from Caretta caretta (loggerhead turtle), 2020 nucleotides. NCBI's taxonomy places the organism in Eukaryota, Metazoa, Chordata, Testudines, Cheloniidae. The record is from RefSeq and is a predicted model, not a curated record.
GGUCCCUCAGCACCUGCGACCUUUUAAUAAAGGGGCUUCCCUGAGCCCUGGGACCCUGAAAGCCUCCUGGGGAAUGAACUGCCUUGGCCACAGCAGCUCUCUUCCCCGCCCUUUGGGGCACUAGACGGUGAUGCCAUUGUACGGCCAGGACUUGGAGGCUGGCUCUGGGCAAUCUGCUCGAGCCUCGUGUCCUCUUGGUUCUAGGUCUUUGGGAAAUUCUUCUGCGACGGGCAGAAAAGGUCCUUUCUGCAGACAGCAGUCCUGGCCAUCCACGACCCCCUGCUGCGUGUCAGCCAGGCGGGGCUGGUGCUCGUCUACUCCCUCCUGGGGGAAGCCCAGCAACUGAUGGGGGUCACGCACGAGGAUGUCACAGCCAAGGUCAUGGGCCAGCUUCACAUCAUCCGGCACUUGCACCAGAUGCCCGAGGCGCUGCAAGGGCUGUGGCUCCUCUGAUGCUCUGAAAGGUUCCCCUCCCUGUUCAGCAAGUCCCGCUCCCUGCUGCAGAGUCUGACAUGAAGAGGAGCCUCCUCCCCCCGUGUCUUCUAGGCCCUGGGGUGUGUGACAGCCUCCCAGAUGGCUGCAGUCAGAAGCUGAACCACCUCAGGGAGCAGUGGGGACAGGUCCCUUGUCCGAGGAAACCAAGCAGUGGUAGUUCUCAAAGAGGCUGAGAGGGAAGACCCCGCUCCCUCAUGGAGCAAGAGGCUCCCCAGAGAUCUCCUCAAACCUGUUCUCCUGGGAGCGUUUCUGGGAGGAGGCUCCCGUCCCUCAGUCUCCAACUCCAUCAUGCAGCCUCAUUCACCUAACAUCUCCGCUCUCCAGCUCCACUUCCUGCAGCAGGACAAACGGACCUUCAGCUCUGACCUGGAGUGGAGUAAAGGCCAGUCACCUGGUUGGAGGGCUGAGUUCCCAGCCAACAAACUGCAAGAGUGAGUAUCAGCGGGGUUGCUAGCCCAGCGAGAAAGCGGUGACACGAGGCCUGGCCAGCAUCUAGCGACCCUCUGUUCUCCUUCUGGGCUGCCUGGACCCUGACUGUAACAUCUCUCUGGCCCAGCCUCUUACACAGAUGCGUGCUGCAGCCAGCCCAGCGCAGGGAGCAGUGGGGACAGAUGAUCUCAUACUGUCAGACCAAGCAACAGGGGUCCCAGUGAGGCUUAGAAGGAAGAUCCCAGGCAUCUCCUGGAGGUAAGAACCGUCCACUCUUCUGGGCACUUGGGGCUGUUGCAACAAAGAGGGGGCUCCUGUUCCAUAGCCUCUUUGUCCUCAUGACUGUGUUUUUUUAUUCUCAGAAGAUGCGUCCGGGACCCUGGAGACUGUUUCGUGGAGGAGGUUUGAGCGGGGAGAGAUCACUCACUGUCAUGACCCAUGGGUCAUUAACCCGGGUCUGCAGGGUUCCUGGGAGCAGCCGCCCUCCAGCACGCCACCUGGAAGCCUACGAAAAACUGCUUACCUAGGACUGACGAAGUCCAGACCCAGUUUGAGGCUCCAUCCCUGAGGCCCAUUGGCAGAGUCCCAGAGCAGCUAAUCGGCCCCCGGGACCUCCUUAAACCAGCAGCAGGAACAAGGAGCUGUCUGAACACCCGAGCUCCUCCCCGGCUCUGGACCCUGUGUUAGCUGUUCCUGCUCCCACUCCCCAGGCUUGAUUUCCUGGCACCCGGACUCGGGGUGACGCAUCUGACUUGAGGUGCUGAGCACAAUUUCGUCUUUUGCUUCUGCUCUUCCAGUGUCCUGACCCAGCUGACUCUCGACUCCUGCCUUGUGAGUGUGGACUCUGCCUCUUACCACUAGGUCCGGCUGCCCAUGACCCGGCCAUGACACUGACAUUUCGACAGUUCCUCCAGUGCCCUUUCCUGCUCUCCAGCCCUGCUCUCCCAGCAAGACACACCGAUCCCUGGCUCCCGGAGUCCUGCUUGCCUGAUAUUCAGGGGCUCCGGGGGAGAGCUUGUCUUGCCCCCUCCCCUACCACGGCUGCUUUUCUCGGGGGCUCUCCCUAGCGCAGAGGAGAAUCCGUCCUGGCAGCAAU